This 805-nucleotide ribosomal RNA is filed under the name Streptomyces sp. RNAcentral's name for it is "bacterial SSU rRNA". It matches the Rfam family "Bacterial small subunit ribosomal RNA", at positions 67 to 883 of the family's 1533-position model. The record is from RNAcentral. Lineage: Bacteria; Bacillati; Actinomycetota; Actinomycetes; Kitasatosporales; Streptomycetaceae.
CGAUGAACCACACUUCGGGUGGGGAUUAGUGGCGAACGGGUGAGUAACACGUGGGCAAUCUGCCCUGCACUCUGGGACAAGCCCUGGAAACGGGGUCUAAUACCGGAUACUGACCCGCCUGGGCAUCCAGGCGGUUCGAAAGCUCCGGCGGUGCAGGAUGAGCCCGCGGCCUAUCAGCUUGUUGGUGAGGUAACGGCUCACCAAGGCGACGACGGGUAGCCGGCCUGAGAGGGCGACCGGCCACACUGGGACUGAGACACGGCCCAGACUCCUACGGGAGGCAGCAGUGGGGAAUAUUGCACAAUGGGCGCAAGCCUGAUGCAGCGACGCCGCGUGAGGGAUGACGGCCUUCGGGUUGUAAACCUCUUUCAGCAGGGAAGAAGCGCAAGUGACGGUACCUGCAGAAGAAGCGCCGGCUAACUACGUGCCAGCAGCCGCGGUAAUACGUAGGGCGCGAGCGUUGUCCGGAAUUAUUGGGCGUAAAGAGCUCGUAGGCGGCUUGUCGCGUCGGUUGUGAAAGCCCGGGGCUUAACCCCGGGUCUGCAGUCGAUACGGGCAGGCUAGAGUUCGGUAGGGGAGAUCGGAAUUCCUGGUGUAGCGGUGAAAUGCGCAGAUAUCAGGAGGAACACCGGUGGCGAAGGCGGAUCUCUGGGCCGAUACUGACGCUGAGGAGCGAAAGCGUGGGGAGCGAACAGGAUUAGAUACCCUGGUAGUCCACGCCGUAAACGGUGGGCACUAGGUGUGGGCGACAUUCCACGUCGUCCGUGCCGCAGCUAACGCAUUAAGUGCCCCGCCUGGGGAGUAC